RNAcentral lists this ribosomal RNA (450 nucleotides) under Klebsiella sp. GNA20. RNAcentral's name for it is "bacterial SSU rRNA". It matches the Rfam family "Bacterial small subunit ribosomal RNA", at positions 8 to 457 of the family's 1533-position model. Lineage: Bacteria; Pseudomonadati; Pseudomonadota; Gammaproteobacteria; Enterobacterales; Enterobacteriaceae. The record is from RNAcentral.
AGAGUUUGAUCAUGGCUCAGAUUGAACGCUGGCGGCAGGCCUAACACAUGCAAGUCGAGCGGUAGCACAGAGAGCUUGCUCUCGGGUGACGAGCGGCGGACGGGUGAGUAAUGUCUGGGAAACUGCCUGAUGGAGGGGGAUAACUACUGGAAACGGUAGCUAAUACCGCAUAACGUCGCAAGACCAAAGAGGGGGACCUUCGGGCCUCUUGCCAUCAGAUGUGCCCAGAUGGGAUUAGCUAGUAGGUGGGGUAACGGCUCACCUAGGCGACGAUCCCUAGCUGGUCUGAGAGGAUGACCAGCCACACUGGAACUGAGACACGGUCCAGACUCCUACGGGAGGCAGCAGUGGGGAAUAUUGCACAAUGGGCGCAAGCCUGAUGCAGCCAUGCCGCGUGUAUGAAGAAGGCCUUCGGGUUGUAAAGUCUUUCAGCGAGGAGGAAGCAUGUGG